This 489-nucleotide ribosomal RNA is filed under the name Laccoptera quadrimaculata. Its description in RNAcentral is "partial 12S small subunit ribosomal RNA". The record is from RNAcentral. Lineage: Eukaryota; Metazoa; Arthropoda; Insecta; Coleoptera; Chrysomelidae.
ACUAACAGUACUAUUAAAAAUUAUUGGUUAGGAUUAAUUGGUUUUUAAUAAAAAUAUAAAAUUUUAUGGUGAAAUAGAAAUUUUUUUUAUGUUUGUAAAUUUAUUUGAAGUCUCAAAGUUAACUUAGAAACUAGGAUUAGAUACCCUAUUAUUAUAAUUUAAUUUUAUUACCUUAUGAUUAUUAGUUAUUAUCUUUAAAGUAAAAUGAUUUGGCGGUGUUUUAGUCUAUUUAGGGGAACCUGUUCUAUAAUUGAUAGUCCACGAUUAAAGGUACUUAAUUUUUUAGUUUGCAUAUCGUUGUUUAAAAUAUUCUUUAAGGAAAUGUUUAUUUGAUUUAUUAAGAAUUAAUUUCAGAUCAAGAUGUAGUUUAUAGUUAAGAAGAAAUGGGUUACAAUAAUAUUAAUUUUGAAUAUUAAUAUAGAAAAUUAAUUGAAUUUGGACUUAAAAGUAAAUUUUAAUAUAUUUUAAUUUUGAUUUUAGCUCUAAAAU